RNAcentral lists this long non-coding RNA (334 nucleotides) under Fukomys damarensis (Damara mole-rat). RNAcentral's name for it is "lncRNA (ENSFDAG00000032594.1)". Lineage: Eukaryota; Metazoa; Chordata; Mammalia; Rodentia; Bathyergidae. The record is from RNAcentral.
GUCUGCCCGGUUCCUCCCAAAAGAUUCAAUCACAUGGAAAACAUAGCUCCUUUCAAAAAGCAGUGUGGGAUUUUUAUUCCUAGGCUUCCAGACAUUGUUCCGGAAAUGGCUUUGACAUUGUCACGCAGCCAGAGUGUUAUGAAUAAUACCCUAUUAGCCGGAGACGUUCAAACAAUCAUCCGUUAACAUGUUCUUACGGCGAGAUGAUGAAGCAUCCUCUGAAAUCAGGCGCUUAUCUGCGGCCCACUCAGCGGGCUUUCCAUCACUCCCUGCGCCGAUGCCGCGUGUCCCUGUCUGGGCCUCCAGCUAAUCACCACGGGGCAAGCGGUGAGUC